RNAcentral lists this ribosomal RNA (431 nucleotides) under uncultured bacterium. RNAcentral's name for it is "partial 16S ribosomal RNA". It matches the Rfam family "Bacterial small subunit ribosomal RNA", at positions 30 to 507 of the family's 1533-position model. The record is from RNAcentral.
CGAACGCUGGCGGCAUGCCUAACACAUGCAAGUCGAACGAGACCUUCGGGUCUAGUGGCGCACGGGUGCGUAACGCGUGGGAACCUGCCCUUAGGCUCGGAAUAACUCCCCGAAAGGGGUGCUAAUACCGGAUAAUGUCUUCGGACCAAAGAUUUAUCGCCUUUGGAUGGGCCCGCGUUGGAUUAGCUAGUUGGUAGGGUAAAAGCCUAUCAAGGCGACGAUCCAUAGCUGGUCUGAGAGGAUGAUCAGCCACACUGGGACUGAGACACGGCCCAGACUCCUACGGGAGGCAGCAGUGGGGAAUAUUGGACAAUGGGCGAAAGCCUGAUCCAGCAAUGCCGCGUGAGUGAUGAAGGCCUUAGGGUUGUAAAGCUCUUUUACCCGGGAUGAUAAUGACAGUACCGGGAGAAUAAGCUCCGACUAACUCCGUG